RNAcentral lists this transfer RNA (16 nucleotides) under Synodontis sp. TT-2020. RNAcentral's name for it is "partial tRNA-Tyr". The record is from RNAcentral. Lineage: Eukaryota; Metazoa; Chordata; Actinopteri; Siluriformes; Mochokidae.
GGUAGGAUGGCCGAGG